Long non-coding RNA from Silurus meridionalis, 264 nucleotides. RefSeq lists it as uncharacterized. The record is from RefSeq and is a predicted model, not a curated record. NCBI's taxonomy places the organism in Eukaryota, Metazoa, Chordata, Actinopteri, Siluriformes, Siluridae. The transcript has 3 exons.
UUUGCGGUUGCUAAAGACAUUUCAGCCUGUCUUUUCAGUGUGUCCCUGUUGGAUGCUGCUUUGGAUCUGUUUAUUGCCCUCCCUGCAGGUAUGAGGAAGUUGUUUAGCAAUGUUUAGCUUUAACGCGUGUCAGGUGGCGUGAGUAAUGUGCAGUCCUUGAACUUCAGUUUAACAGCAGGUUAUUUGAAGGCUGCGUAUCCUGAGCGGUGAAUUGAUUCUCAGGAACUUAUCUAUCCGCGUUUGGAUCCUCCUUCUUUCCUUCCC